AAAUGGAUGACUUCUCCUUUUGGGAAAAGACAUUUCGGGAGGAUUGCUGUCUCUACCUGGACCUCAUUAGCUCUUGGCUUGACAAGGUAGACUGUUACAGCCGAAGGAGCUGAAGGAACGUGCUGGAAGGGAUGGAGUCUCAGGUCAGCUAGGACCCUUCCCCUGCAGAGGAAAGCCUCUUGGGAACUUCCCAGUCUUGGAGCUGCUGUCUCCUAGCCCCCUCCAUCAGCUCCUGGGCCCCAGCUUACCAGUUUGGGAAGCUGUUGCUCACCAGGACGCCAGCUCUCUUUGGCUAGAUCUCCUCUAAUGGCGAAUCAACACCUUUUCUCAGGAGAAUGCAUUACCUUAUAGAAACAACCGUUUUCUUGAAUACAGCCCUGUGCCCCACUUAUGGAAUAGCAGUUCCUGCCUUGUUUCUACACAGUGACCUUGUUUUAGGACAGAGAAGACUCAUGGAAAAAGGUGGCUGGACUUGGGGCAAGAGAUGUUUUUCUUCCUCUUUUAAUGUGAUAUUAGGGGGAUUCAGUAGGAGGUGGCGGCAGCCAGCUGAGUAGGAAGGAACUGCAGAAAUCCGUCACAAUCGCCAGAGCAGGACUAGCAGGGAAAGACCCAGUGAGAAAGGUGGAAAAUGCAGAGAAAUUCGGGGGCUGGAAAUCCGGAAUAUCAGGCCAUUAGCAUCUGUGAGCUCUUUCUGAGGAAAAAAACAGGCACAGAAAAAGUGUAUUUCUGCAGACAUUCUUUGUUCCCCUCAACUUAUGAGGCAUUGUUAUCUCUGCUUCACAGAUGAGGAGGUGAAGUCACACACCUGGCUCUCAGCAGAUCUGGCUUUGAGCCGUGCUGGACUCCAAGCCAUUCCCCCGUCCGAUGCACUCUGGUGCUGAACACAGGCCACAAAGAUUUGUAAGGAGGGUAGAGACUUGUUGAAAGUGCGCUGCCCUCAAGCCGAGGAGGAAGCUCACAGCAGCACAGUCUGGAGGCUUUGGGUCCUUUCCUGCUGACGUGUUAAACUGGUGAACCUGGUCUUAACUUUCUUCCUAACGCUUUUAAAAAAGUUGUGGUGAUAUAUACUUU
RNAcentral lists this long non-coding RNA (1071 nucleotides) under Equus caballus (horse). RNAcentral describes it as "lncRNA (ENSECAG00000057101.1)". The record is from RNAcentral. Lineage: Eukaryota; Metazoa; Chordata; Mammalia; Perissodactyla; Equidae.